This 1338-nucleotide long non-coding RNA is filed under the name Ornithorhynchus anatinus (platypus). RNAcentral describes it as "lncRNA (ENSOANG00000045686.1)". Lineage: Eukaryota; Metazoa; Chordata; Mammalia; Monotremata; Ornithorhynchidae. The record is from RNAcentral.
AUGACGGGUGGCAGGGUAGCCCCGGGAGGGAAGAGGGGGUCCGGUCAGGCGCGGGCAGGGGAGGAGACAAUGGGCCAAGGGGACUUCAGGGAAGGAGGGGGAGCGGGAGGAAGAGGAGGAGGAAGGGGGAGGAAGAGAGGAGGAAGAGAGGAGGAAGGGAGAGGAGGAGGAAGGGGGAGGAAGGGGGGAGGAAAGGGGAGGAAGAGAGGAGGAAGGAGGAGGAAGGGGGAGGAAGAGGAGGAGGAAAGGGGAGGAAGGGAGAAAGAGGAGGAGGGAGAGAAGCAGCAGCAGCUCCCACGGUGGCUCGGGGGGAGGAGAGGAGGAGGAGGAGGAGGAGGAGGGAGGGGAGGAGGAAGAAGAGCAGCAGCAGUGUCAGUCCCCUGGUGGCGUGUCCCCCUCCCCGGGCGCCCCCGCGUCCCGCCCCUCCCCGGGCGCCUCCGCCCCCCACCCGCUGCCCCGGUGCCCCUCGGCCUCGCCGUGCGCGCCCCCUCCCCUCCUCCCCCUCCCCCUCCCCCUCCCCGCCCCCCCAUGGCCCGCUCGGGCCUCCGGCGGCGGCCCGGGCCCGACACGGACGGGGGGGCGGGGGACCCUCCCCGGGCCGCCCCCCGAAACCCGGACCCCCCGCCCCCGGGGCCGCACCGCCCGGAGGGCGGACGGACGGACGGGCGGGGGGAGGGGGCGGCAGACACGGGGGAGGGGGGGGAGGAGGAGGAGGAGACACCGAGGGGGGAGGAGGAGGAGGAGGAGGGAGCGGAGACGGAGGGAGGAGGAGGAGGGGGAGGAGAGACGGAGAGACGGAGGGAGGCGCGUCCACCUGGCUGUCCAGGCGCGUGGAGCGGCAGCGGUGACCGCAGUGGACGCCCGCGGCGGGAGAAGCGCCCCCUCGCCAGCCCCGGGACCCGUUCCCCCGGCCAAAGAGCUGGUGCAAGAUUCGGCCCUUGGGGAACCCGGCAGACCCCACGCCGAGACCCCCGGAUCUGAACGGCGCAAGGCCCGCUCGCCCACCCAGACGCAUCUUCAAAAUAAAAUGCCUUCCCUUUUCACACGUCCGUGGCUUAUCCGGUUUUUUUUUUUUUUUUCUCCUCCCCACUGGCCGGAGUAUCUCGCAGCCGUAUCUUGCUAUGGGAACCGGGGCCAUUAGUUAGUUAAAUAUAAUCGCCCCCCCCCCUCCCCACCUACACCCCACCCCAGAUGGCCGCUCUCCCGUAGACUGGUCCUUUUAAUCUGCAGACCUUCCGUCACCGCUCCGCCUGCCUUUGGUUAGCAGUGGCCUAUUCUCUGCCAUGCUCUGCCUUUGUAGAUAAAAACUGUGUCUUGGCAAAAGGCUCGAACAGUCGG